RNAcentral lists this unclassified non-coding RNA (351 nucleotides) under soil metagenome. RNAcentral describes it as "partial contains 5.8S ribosomal RNA, internal transcribed spacer 2, and large subunit ribosomal RNA". The stretch from base 1 to 120 matches the Rfam family "5.8S ribosomal RNA", at positions 35 to 154 of the family's 154-position model. The record is from RNAcentral.
GAUGAAGAACGUAGCGAAAUGCGAUAAGUAAUGUGAAUUGUAGAAUUCAGUGAAUCAUCGAAUCUUUGAACGCACAUUGCGCCCGCGAGUAUUCUCGCGGGCAUGCCUGUCCGAGCGUCAUUUCGACCCUCAGGGCCCGCCUGCUUGCAGGCGCGGCGCUGGUGUUGGGGAUCGGCUACCCUGCCGUCCCCCAAAUACAGUGGCGGUCUCGCUGCAGCCUCCCCUGCGUAGUAGCAACACUCGCAUGCGGAGCGCGGCGCGGCCACGCCGUAAAACCCCCGACUUUCUGAACGUUGACCUCGGAUCAGGUAGGAAUACCCGCUGAACUUAAGCAUAUCAAUAAGCGGAGGA